Molecule: ribosomal RNA, 254 nt
Filed under: uncultured bacterium
Lineage: Bacteria
Description: partial 16S ribosomal RNA
Rfam family: Bacterial small subunit ribosomal RNA
Source: RNAcentral
UACGUAGGGCGCAAGCGUUAUCCGGAAUUAUUGGGCGUAAAGAGCUCGUAGGCGGUUUGUCGCGUCUGCCGUGAAAGUCCGGGGCUCAACUCCGGAUCUGCGGUGGGUACGGGCAGACUAGAGUGACUGUAGGGGAGACUGGAAUUCCUGGUGUAGCGGUGAAAUGCGCAGAUAUCAGGAGGAACACCGAUGGCGAAGGCAGGUCUCUGGGCUGUAACUGACGCUGAGGAGCGAAAGCAUGGGGAGCGAACAGG